Molecule: ribosomal RNA, 205 nt
Filed under: uncultured eukaryote
Lineage: Eukaryota
Description: partial 18S ribosomal RNA
Rfam family: Eukaryotic small subunit ribosomal RNA
Source: RNAcentral
UGGUGGAGUGAUUUGUCUGGUUAAUUCCGAUAACGAACGAGACCACAACCUACUAAAUAGUGGCACGGAGCUCCUGCUGGGUGAAGGUGGGACCUUUGGGGCAGCCUAGCUGCCUCGCUUGUUCCGCUGGAUCCUUGGAGCCUCCGUCGUGGCUUCUUAGAGGGACAACCUGCCGGUAAGCGGGAGGAAGUUUGUGGCAAUAACA